GGCAAUGUGACUUAAUGGUCUAGUGCUUGCCUAGCAUGCAUGAAGCCCUGGGUUUGAUUCCUCAGUGCCA
RNAcentral lists this transfer RNA (70 nucleotides) under Dipodomys ordii (Ord's kangaroo rat). It matches the Rfam family "tRNA". Rfam says of the family: Transfer RNA (tRNA) molecules are approximately 80 nucleotides in length. The record is from Rfam by way of RNAcentral. Lineage: Eukaryota; Metazoa; Chordata; Mammalia; Rodentia; Heteromyidae.